AAGCCGAAUAAAAGCCGGACUUUAAUUUUGCUUUCUUGACCGAUCGUGGUGUGACGUCACUAGAGAUGCGCCGCGGACUGUUCAUCAAACCGAGGAAGUUAGUGGGGUGUUCCGCAAGCAGGUUAGCUAAUCGAGUCAGAAAUUCUGGGCUGGGAAUGGUUGAAGAGAGUGAAGAUGUCAGUUAGGCCGAAUCAUGCAAGCUGAAUGAUGAAGAGGCUGAAGAACAAAGAGACCUGAUGAAAUUGUAAAAGGAAUGUCAAGCACAGAAUGAAAAGGAGGAGAAUCAGGAAGCUUCCAAUUCCAUAACUGGAGAAAACUCAUUUAGUGGUUCACAAAUUAAGGAGGGUUUCUCUUAAGAAAGCACAGAAGCCAAAAAUGCUUUUUCAUGCCACCAUUGUGGAAAGACUUUUGCACAAAAAGGACACCUGAAGUAUCACAUAAGAAUUCCUACUGGUGAAAGACCUUACAAGUGCCCUCAAAAAAAUGUACACACCGUAAGGAACAUUUAGGAACUCACACUGGUGAAAAGCCUUUCACAUGCCCACAAGGUGAAAAAGAGUUUCAUACGGAAAGGAAACCUUAAUAUUCACAUGAAAAAUCACCAGAGAGAGGCCUUACACAUGCCCUCAGUGUGGGAAGAGAUACACAUCUAAAGGACACCUUAAGAACACAUAGGAACUCACACUGGUGAGAGGCCUUUUGCAUGUUCUCAAUGUGGAAAGUUUUUUACAUGUACAGGAAGCCUCAAAUUUCACCUGCAGUUUCACUCUGGAGAAAGGCCAAUUGGCUGUGACGAGUGUGGUGUAACUGCUGAAAAGACACCUGAGGAUGCAUUUAAACAAGCAGCCUUAUUUGUGCUCUGUUUGUGGGAAGAGUUUUCUAUUUCUUGACUAUUUUAAACAGCACCAGAAAAUACAUAUCAGUGUGAAGUCUCAUGUGUGCUUUGAGUGUGGAAAUUCCUUCAUGAGAGCCAGAGACUUGGAGCGGCAUGAAAGAAUCCAAACUGGAGAAAAACCCCUGCUCACAGUGUGGAAAGUGUUUCACUGAGUCUAGGAACCUGGUAAAACAUGAAAGAGUGCACACUGGAGAAAAGCCGUACCACUGCCUUUCAUGUGGGAGGAGUUUUAGACAAUCAUGUAGUCUACUGACUCAUGUAGAAAAGCACUGUCCACAAGUGGUUACAGUGUCCAACCUUCAGGCUUCGGUUCCAAGCAAUUUGUGUGAAAUUUAGAUCAACUUGAUGAUGGAAUAUGUCCAACAGAAGUAGGAAUAAGGUCUGUUCGCACCAAGACAGAUGUUCAGUGCAAUAAACAUUUCAAUUUGAAUGCACUUAAUGCAUCUGUUUAGACCAAUGUGAACAUUAGCAUGCAGUCCAUGCAACAAUUUUUAAUGACAGGUGUUGUAGUCUGUUUUCCAUUGCGCUGUGAAGAAAACCAGCCAACCAUUAAGAACUGCACUUUUGGUCACAUGCCCAGAGCCACUGUUGUUACAUGAAACCACUAAUUGGUAAUUUUGCUAAUUGAUGGUAAAUAGCAGAGAAAGAAUGCGGAACUAGUUCUAUUAUCUCUGUACACUUUUAUUUGGUUUUGUUUGAUAAAACUAUAGUGCAUACAAACGAGUGAAAUAAUGCUUCAAAACUGUAUAUACUAUUGGACCUUUGUUUUCCAUGUCAAGUUUCAUGUUCCAAUUGUGCACCAGGGAAAUCUGUAUUUUUGCUUCUCUAUUAGCAUUAGUUUCAGUUCAAUGUACAUAAUUGUCCAAAUAAAAGACAAUUCAUGAAAUGUG
Long non-coding RNA from Cyprinus carpio (common carp), 1785 nucleotides. RefSeq lists it as uncharacterized. Lineage: Eukaryota; Metazoa; Chordata; Actinopteri; Cypriniformes; Cyprinidae. The transcript has 3 exons. The record is from RefSeq and is a predicted model, not a curated record.